Dipodomys spectabilis (banner-tailed kangaroo rat) is the source of this 434-nucleotide non-coding RNA. NCBI's taxonomy places the organism in Eukaryota, Metazoa, Chordata, Mammalia, Rodentia, Heteromyidae. The record is from the annotation of a RefSeq genome assembly.
GCCCAUCCCUGACCUGAACUCUGUGAGCUGAUUCCACCAGUGACUGAGCACAGACCACCACCAUGGAGCUGGGGCUGCGCUGGGUUCUCCUUGUUGCUCUGUUGAAAGGUGUGCAGUGUGAGGUGCAGCUGGUGGAGUCUGGGGGAGGCUUGGUGCAGCCUGGGGGGUCCCUGAGACUCUCCUGUGCAGCCUCCGGAUUUGACUUCAGUGGUUACUGGAUGAGCUGGAUCCGCCAGGCUCCAGGGAAGGGGCUGGAGUGGCUUGGAGAAAUUAAUCAAGGUGGUAGUAGCACAAACUACCCAGACUCUGUGAAGGGCCGCUUCACCAUCUCCAGAGACAACAGCAAGAGCACACUUUACCUGCAGAUGAACAGCCUGAGAGUGGAGGACACGGCCGUCUAUUACUGUGCUAGACACACAAAAUGGAGGUUGUAA